ACUUUAACACUGAGGCGUGAUGACGAGGCACUACGGUGCUGAAGCAACAAAUGCCCUGCUUCCAGGAAAAGCCUCUAAGCAUCAGGUAACAUCAAAUCGUACCCCAAACCGACACAGGUGGUCAGGUAGAGAAUACCAAGGCGCUUGAGAGAACUCGGGUGAAGGAACUAGGCAAAAUGGUGCCGUAACUUCGGGAGAAGGCACGCUGACACGUAGGUGAAGUGAUUUACUCAUGGAGCUGAAGUCAGUCGAAGAUACCAGCUGGCUGCAACUGUUUAUUAAAAACACAGCACUGUGCAAACACGAAAGUGGACGUAUACGGUGUGACGCCUGCCCGGUGCCGGAAGGUUAAUUGAUGGGGUCAGCGCAAGCGAAGCUCCUGAUCGAAGCCCCGGUAAACGGCGGCCGUAACUAUAACGGUCCUAAGGUAGCGAAAUUCCUUGUCGGGUAAGUUCCGACCUGCACGAAUGGCGUAAUGAUGGCCAGGCUGUCUCCACCCGAGACUCAGUGAAAUUGAACUCGCUGUGAAGAUGCAGUGUACCCGCGGCAAGACGGAAAGACCCCGUGAACCUUUACUAUAGCUUGACACUGAACAUUGAGCCUUGAUGUGUAGGAUAGGUGGGAGGCUUUGAAGUGUGGACGCCAGUCUGCAUGGAGCCGACCUUGAAAUACCACCCUUUAAUGUUUGAUGUUCUAACGUGGACCCGUAAUCCGGGUUGCGGACAGUGUCUGGUGGGUAGUUUGACUGGGGCGGUCUCCUCCUAAAGAGUAACGGAGGAGCACGAAGGUUGGCUAAUCCUGGUCGGACAUCAGGAGGUUAGUGCAAUGGCAUAAGCCAGCUUGACUGCGAGCGUGACGGCGCGAGCAGGUGCGAAAGCAGGUCAUAGUGAUCCGGUGGUUCUGAAUGGAAGGGCCAUCGCUCAACGGAUAAAAGGUACUCCGGGGAUAACAGGCUGAUACCGCCCAAGAGUUCAUAUCGACGGCGGUGUUUGGCACCUCGAUGUCGGCUCAUCACAUCCUGGGGCUGAAGUAGGUCCCAAGGGUAUGGCUGUUCGCCAUUUAAAGUGGUACGCGAGCUGGGUUUAGAACGUCGUGAGACAGUUCGGUCCCUAUCUGCCGUGGGCGCUGGAGAACUGAGGGGGGCUGCUCCUAGUACGAGAGGACCGGAGUGGACGCAUCACUGGUGUUCGGGUUGUCAUGCCAAUGGCACUGCCCGGUAGCUAAAUGCGGAAGAGAUAAGUGCUGAAAGCAUCUAAGCACGAAACUUGCCCCGAGAUGAGUUCUCCCUGAGACUUAGAGUCUCCUGAAGGAACGUUGAAGACGACGACGUUGAUAGGCCGGGUGUGUAAGCGCAGCGAUGCGUUGAGCUAACCGGUACUAAUGAACCGUGAGGCUUAACCUUACA
This 1405-nucleotide ribosomal RNA is filed under the name Salmonella enterica subsp. enterica serovar Kottbus. Its description in RNAcentral is "partial 23S ribosomal RNA". It matches the Rfam family "Bacterial large subunit ribosomal RNA", at positions 1547 to 2925 of the family's 2925-position model. The record is from RNAcentral. Lineage: Bacteria; Pseudomonadati; Pseudomonadota; Gammaproteobacteria; Enterobacterales; Enterobacteriaceae.